Molecule: RNA transcript, 4683 nt
Organism: Cynoglossus semilaevis (tongue sole)
Lineage: Eukaryota; Metazoa; Chordata; Actinopteri; Pleuronectiformes; Cynoglossidae
Gene name: ubiquitin-conjugating enzyme E2 G1-like
Exons: 7
Source: RefSeq, a predicted model, not a curated record
UCAUAUGAAAGAUUCGUUCAUUUUGAACAGCUCUGUCUUUCUGUGCGAAUUCAGUUUCACUUAAAUUCGCUGUUUUUCUCUGAUUGUGUUUGUCGACAGUGCUAUCCAAUCGCGUCCUCGUACCAUGACCGAACAAUCAGCGCUACUUCUUCGAAAGCAACUGGCAGAACUCAACAAAAAUCCUGUGGAGGGCUUUUCAGCUGGCUUGAUCGAUGAUGAUGACAUAUACAAAUGGGAAGUCGUGAUCAUUGGUCCUCAAGACACUCUUUUUGAAGGAGGGUUUUUCAAAGCAUACCUUACCUUUCCUUAUGAUUAUCCUUUGCGGCCUCCAAAGAUGAAGUUCAUCACUGAAAUCUGGCAUCCAAAUGUGGCAAAGAACGGGGAUGUUUGUAUUUCAAUUCUCCACGAACCAGGAGAAGAUAAGUUUGGUUAUGAAAAGCCGGAGGAGCGCUGGCUUCCAAUCCACACAGUAGAGACUAUCAUGAUUAGUGUCAUCUCAAUGCUUGCAGACCCCAACAGUGAUUCACCCGCUAAUGUGGACGCUGCUAAAGAGUGGAGGGAGGAUCCAAACGGGGAAUUUAAGAGGAAGGUUGCUCGCUGUGUAAGAAAAAGUCAAGAGAUGGUGUUUGAUUAGGAGUCAGUUGUAAAUUCCAGGUUAAAGGAUGCCUUCAGAGGGAAAAUUUCAGUGAAAGGCUUUUGCACCCCUCGUUUUGCCAGGCACAGGAAGUGGUCAACAUUGACCACGUCGUUUUGAAUGGUUGUCGUUUUCCGCAAGUUGAGCCAAUUUGAAGAAAAACCUACCAGCGAAAUUAACCUGUUUCCUACCUGGAAUUGUAUGUUUAAUUUUAUUUAUUUAAAAAAAAUAUUAUGUAAAAUAUGUCACUUCUGUACAUUAACUUGCUUUUUUAUCUGCUGCUGAACAGUUUCUCCUUUAUACCAGGUUUCUUAUGCAAUUAAGUGGUCAAGGUUGUGUAAAACAAAACACCCAUUUUGCCAUUGGGUCAUCACCCAUCCUCCUGGUUAAUGUCAGCCCCCAUCAUUUCUGUCGUGUAAAAAAUGUUUUCCAAAGCCAACACAGUCAAUGAGUCACCGUUCCUUUUCAUUGGCUUCACUUUUCCCCACCUUGUUAGUUAAGAAGGGCAAGAUGAAAAUUGGUGUUGGUUUGGUAGUUUGUCUGUUUAAGAAACAGCCUACUGUUAGCGUUUCUAGUUAUGAAAAUGAAUGUGAGGAAGACCUUUGAUGGAUCUGAGCUCUUGUCACUUGUGAAGUGAUUCCAGGGUCAUUGUUUCCUUGCACAUUCAAGAACAGAGCUAAUUCUUUCAACAAAGAUGUUGUGCCAACUUCUCAGGUUAAAACCUUAAAGAGGAUCUAGAUUAGCCAUCAGUGAAACCAACCCUGAAAUUCUCUGACCCCUAACACACAAAAACCCUCCGGCACCUUUUGUUAAUGAAGAUGUGUAUUGCUAAUUUUCUGGUCACAAUUACAAAUCAUAGACAACCUGAACCAAUCUCUGAAUAUAACUCAAGCUGUGAUUACUCCAUGUGUCUACUGGUGAAGUGCUUUCUGACCUUACCUCAGUUUCAGAGAACAAACUUAUUUGAUGAGGUUAGUGUGUUUAAGUGGGUCAUGUUAGGGUCUCCAUGGUAGAGUUAAGGCUGUUUGCGCUUAGAUUGAGUUAUUAAUUUUGUUUUAUGUGUUUGGCUAAAUUCUGAAGUUUCACAUGCACUUAUGAGUUUAGAAUUGUAUGGACUUCUGGUAGAUUUGCUUCUUAAAUGUCUUAAAUGUGGACAACAUCUUGAAUUUAGUUGAAGACCGGUGUUGCAAGAUAUGGAAUAUUGUACCAGCAGCCUAAAUGUAAUAAUAUUUUGAGGAGAAUAAUAGUAUACACCAAAUUCUCCAUCUGACUUGGCUCAGGACAAUCUGCUCUGGUAACACAUUAUAGACUGUGCAUAUUAAAGCUUAUAAUGUGGUUUUACCUACAACACAUGCAGUGAGCUCUUUGUAUGUCAUUUGCAGCAUUAGAUACAUCUUGUAUAAUUGGCUGUAAGGUGGCAGUGGAGACAGUGUGUGAAAAUGAGUGCAUUAUGUACAUGAGGGAACUUAAUUGUGAAAUUUAGCAAUGUAUAGUACAUUAUGGUAGUUUUUAAAAUGAUUGAUCGUACAGAGGUCAAAUUUAUUGAACCAAAUGAUAACUAAUGUACAACUGGCAACACUGUCGCACACUACAUCGGACAUGGACAUAGAAAUUAGGCAGCGAUUUACUCCACCAUGCACGUCAUUAAGAAUUUUACUGGAAUGUUAUGGUUUCCGUUGCUUUUUUUUUUUUCAUUGCAAAAACUUUGUAUGUAACUAUGUUCUUAUUUUCCAAAAACAGCAAAUAAAGCACUACACUAUUAUGACAAUACCCCAGAUGCAUCAUUUGUCUGCUGCCAGGCUACUCAUAAAUGAUACAACCUUCAAUUACAAACCGUAUCUACUCCUAUUUAUUGUCACUGAAGGGCAUUCUCUCAGUAAACAAUCAUAUUAUACAAUGCUGACAUAUUGAAAUUGGAGAAUCUCUGAAAAUUGAUACUCAUACCAUGUUAUUAACAAAACUUGUAUUCAUAGAGUAACUAUGGAAACCAGAACCUUCCACAACUACACUUUAAACAUAGGAUUGCAGAUUUAUUGCUUUAAAAUGUGUAAUGAAUGGUCUGUUUACACCUGGACCUGUAAUUCUUUUGAAGAUGCAUGCUGGGAAGUGAAAAUUAUUUUACCUUCCAGAGAACAAUCUCCAUAAUUGACUGUGGCGGAGUCUGGAAUCCACUGGCUUGAACACCCACACGUUGACAUUUAUACAUAAAUAUUAGUUUUUUAAGCAUGAAUUGGAUUGAAGCAGUUGUGGCCUGAGGGUGAACGUGAUAUGUUGGACUGCAUGGUAUUUGAGAAAAUAUGCAAUAUUGUUGAAUUUUGCAAUAUUAUUGUAAGAAGCAUGAAUGACCAAGCACAGUUGUUGAUGGUUGGAUGCAGUCAAUGGCCAAAACCUCGUCAUCUGAAAGAAAUUUGGACAAUCUUGUUCUUUUUAUGUUUGUGAACUGGCGACCCAUGUUAUGAAAUUCAGUUUAUUACCCUUCAAAGAACAACUCUGAAGUGGAUAUUAAUGUUCCAAUACUUCAGUGUUGGGAGCUUUGCCUCUUGCUCAUAGCUUCUCUUGCUGUUUUAAAGUUGUCAUAUAACUCUGCCAUCCGUCGUUGUGUCAAAAGAGAUCAGUUUUGGUUCCGGAAGAGUUGCACAUAUUUGUGAUUUGUCCUUCAGCUUACAUAUCAUCUGUAGAUGGUGGUAAACAGAUCCAUCUGCUUGACCAGAAAUACUGGUCCUAAAGGUGUGAAUGCAGAGAAUAUUGAUAUAUACUAUUUAUGGCAGACCUCACAUUCUUCUGAAAUGUGUCUAUUGUGUUUUUCAAUAUGACAAUGUUGGUAAGUUGUUUUUCCGUUUUAUUGUGCAGUCUUUUUGUGUACACAAAGUAGACUUCUGUAGAUUGAUAAUCACAUAACUGCUGUUGACAUUAGUUUUUUGUUUUUUUGUCUUGAUUUUUCUAACCUACCAUGACCUCUUCUGACCGGUGUUCACUGUAUUUGCACAGAUUCAGUGCGUUUGAAAUUACAUUAAGCAAUACGCUGUGAAAAUUGUGUCCAGGUUUAUCCUCUUUAGCCAUUAUUUGUUUUUGGGUUUAUUUGUUUGUCUGGUUUUCAUUAUGUGUCAAUGCAAUGUAUAUUGGACACGAUGCUCAAUAAAGUGUGUAAACAGAGUGGCUUGUAAUUGUGUUUGUGCUCUACAUUUUAGAAGAGAACACAGUAUGUCUUCAGGUAAAUCAGACCCCUGCUCUGUAAUUGGAGCCCUGGGAGCAGAGUCAGGUGUCACUGCUGGCUUCACUUCACACUAAUGGGCUCUGUUUGCUGCUACACACAGCCCAUCAAGGUCCAAGAGACAUCUAACAUAACCAUUGCAGAUACUGUGGUAGUAGGUAACAAUGAGAAAGCAAGUCACAUUUGUUGAGCACCUAAAAAAUGAAAACCUCUUAGAAGAAGGAAGUGGCCACAUUUUAAUGAGGUAAGAGGAUAAAUAUUACAUGAUUCAAACUGGGGAGGGUGCAUUUGUACUUUUAUUCAGUUUGUAACCACUUUUUAUUCUUAGAUCUUCGGUGUCUAAUAAAAAGAACAUGAAUUGUAAGUCAAAUGCUUUUAAUUAAGAUUCUAAUGAAUCUACGAUUCAUAUCUCAAAUAAAAGAAGUAUAAGUGUUUUCCAGAUCAGCAACUAAGGAAGAUGAACAGAGGGGUACACUUAAAUGUACCCACUGGAAGCCAGCACUUAAGGUCAAUACACAUUCCUAAAUCUAUGAUGUCUGCACCCUUUUUACAGGUGCCCAUGCUAAGCUACAAUAGUCUUUCCUCUCCAACUCUGUGUAAUACUUUUCUCGUACAAUGAUAUUACUGUUUGAUUUUGUAUUUUGUGCAAUAAUGCCGUGUGUGUGUGCUUCAGCACCCUGCCCUCACAGCUGGGCAGAGGCGAUACCUUUACAGCAUAGCCAAUGUCUACAGCAUGGAGCACAUGAGAUGACAGAUGAAGCAGCACUAUCUCAAUGUGCUGCACACAUGCCUGCAGUCAGGUCAGAAAUCCACCUGCAGAUGGAGGCAUCAGUAUGGA